This 499-nucleotide ribosomal RNA is filed under the name uncultured bacterium. RNAcentral describes it as "bacterial SSU rRNA". It matches the Rfam family "Bacterial small subunit ribosomal RNA", at positions 501 to 1000 of the family's 1533-position model. The record is from RNAcentral.
CUACGUGCCAGCAGCCGCGGUAAUACGUAGGGCGCGAGCGUUGUCCGGAAUUAUUGGGCGUAAAGAGCUUGUAGGCGGUUUGUCGCGUCUGCUGUGAAAGGCCGGGGCUUAACUCCGUGUAUUGCAGUGGGUACGGGCAGACUAGAGUGCAGUAGGGGAGACUGGAAUUCCUGGUGUAGCGGUGGAAUGCGCAGAUAUCAGGAGGAACACCAAUGGCGAAGGCAGGUCUCUGGGCUGUAACUGACGCUGAGAAGCGAAAGCAUGGGGAGCGAACAGGAUUAGAUACCCUGGUAGUCCACGCUGUAAACGAUGUCGAUUUGGGGGUUGAACUUUGAGUUUGGCGCCCGUAGCUAACGUGAUAAAUCGACCGCCUGGGGAGUACGGCCGCAAGGUUAAAACUCAAAUGAAUUGACGGGGGCCCGCACAAGCGGUGGAGCAUGUGGUUUAAUUCGAUGCAACGCGAAGAACCUUACCUACUCUUGACAUCCAGAGAACAUUC